UACGUAGGGUGCAAGCGUUAAUCGGAAUUACUGGGCGUAAAGCGCACGUAGGCGGCCUGUUAAGUCGGGUGUGAAAUCCCUCGGCUUAACCGAGGAACUGCCCUCCAAACUGCUUGGCUUGAGUCCGGGAGAGGUGAGUGGAAUUCCCAGUGUAGCGGUGAAAUGCGUAGAUAUUGGGAGGAACACCAGUGGCGAAGGCGGCUCACUGGACCGGAACUGACGCUGAGGCGCGAAAGCGUGGGGAGCAAACGGG
Molecule: ribosomal RNA, 253 nt
Filed under: uncultured bacterium
Lineage: Bacteria
Description: partial 16S ribosomal RNA
Rfam family: Bacterial small subunit ribosomal RNA
Source: RNAcentral